RNAcentral lists this ribosomal RNA (1716 nucleotides) under Lilapila oculispora. Its description in RNAcentral is "eukaryotic LSU rRNA". The stretch from base 1 to 562 matches the Rfam family "Eukaryotic small subunit ribosomal RNA", at positions 1249 to 1831 of the family's 1831-position model. The record is from RNAcentral. Lineage: Eukaryota; Fungi; Ascomycota; Orbiliomycetes; Orbiliales; Orbiliaceae.
UGAGAGCUCUUUCUUGAUUAUGUGGGUGGUGGUGCAUGGCCGUUCUUAGUUGGUGGAGUGAUUUGUCUGCUUAAUUGGGAUAACGAACGAGACCUUAACCUGCUAAAUAGCCAGGCAAGCGUUUGCUAGUCGUCGGCUUCUUAGAGGGACUAUCGGCUCAAGCCGAUGGAAGUUUGAGGCAAUAACAGGUCUGUGAUGCCCUUAGAUGUUCUGGGCCGCACGCGCGCUACACUGACAGAGCCAACGAGUAUAAACCUUGGCCGAAAGGUCUGGGUAAUCUUGUUAAACUCUGUCGUGCUGGGGAUAGAGCAUUGCAAUUAUUGCUCUUCAACGAGGAAUUCCUAGUAAGCGCAAGUCAUCAGCUUGCGUUGAUUACGUCCCUGCCCCUUUGUACACACCGCCCGUCGCUACUACCGAUUGAAUGGCUCAGUGAGGCUCUCGGACUGGCUCCAGGAGGUCGGCAACGACCACCCAGAGCCGGAAAGUGAGUCAAACUUGGUCAUUUAGAGGAAGUAAAAGUCGUAACAAGGUUUCCGUAGGUGAACCUGCGGAAGGAUCAUUAAAAACGUACGAGGUAUUCCCUCUGCAUGAGUACUCCUCCCAGUUGUCCGAGGCGCCAAAAACGCUGAAGCUCGGGAGGAUACGCUUCAACCCUUUGUGAAACACCUGUUGCUUUGGCAGCUCUUCUCCGGAAGGUCAGUCUGUCAGAAGCUCGCAAGAAACUCUUUGUUUAUAAACAUUGUCUUGAAAAGAAAUGAAAAUUCUUUAAAACUUUCAACAACGGAUCUCUUGGUUCUCGCAUCGAUGAAGAACGCAGCGAAACGCGAUAGGUAAUGUGAAUUGCAGAAUUCAGUGAAUCAUCGAAUCUUUGAACGCACAUUGCGCCUUUUGGUAUUCCGAGAGGCAUGUCUGUUUGAGCGUCAUUACAAACCCUCAAGCCUAGCUUGGUGUUGAGCUCCGGUCCGUCCAGGCUCUAAUGUAGUACGCUUGCGGGCUCUCCCCAUAAUUACAACGUAGUAAAACUUCUUUCGUUGUGUUGGAAGGAGAGUUCUGCCUGAAUCAACCCCUCAGAGUUUGACCUCAGAUCAGACAAGGAUACCCGCUGAACUUAAGCAUAUCAAUAAGCGGAGGAAAAGAAACCAACAGGGAUUGCCUUAGUAACGGCGAGUGAAGCGGCAACAGCUCAAAUUUGAAAUCUGAUGUCUUUUGACGUUCGAGUUGUAAUUUGAAGAGGAAUCUUCGGUUUGGACCACGGCCCAUGUCCCUUGGAACAGGGCGUCGUAGAGGGUGAGAAUCCCGUUGACGGCUGAUGGUCUCUUUCCAUGUGAAGUUCCUUCGAAGAGUCGAGUUGUUUGGGAAUGCAGCUCUAAACGGGAGGUAAAUUUCUUCUAAAGCUAAAUAUUGGCGAGAGACCGAUAGCGCACAAGUAGAGUGAUCGAAAGAUGAAAAGCACUUUGAAAAGAGAGUUAAACAGUACGUGAAAUUGUUGAAAGGGAAGCGCUUGCAAUUAGACUUGUCUUUGGUGGAUCAACGUUCCUUCUGGUUCGUGCACUCCGUCUUUGACAGGCCAGCAUCGGUUGCGACGGCGGGACAAAGACCUUAGGAAUGUGGCUCUCUUCGGGGAGUGUUAUAGCCUUCGGUGCAAUGCCGCCUGUCGCGAUCGAGGACCGCGCUUCGGCUAGGAUGCUGGCGUAAUGAUUGUAAGCGACCCGUCUU